AUGGAUGUAAUUAUUUUUUCCCCAGAUGAUUCGACGCUGAAAUAACCGAGCGCUCCUUUAUUUUCUUCUACUUCGGAGAAGUUCAAGCCAAUAUUCUGGUCCAU
Salvia splendens (bonfire salvia) is the source of this 104-nucleotide small nucleolar RNA. RefSeq annotates it as small nucleolar RNA Z103. The transcript has a single exon. The record is from RefSeq and is a predicted model, not a curated record. NCBI's taxonomy places the organism in Eukaryota, Viridiplantae, Streptophyta, Magnoliopsida, Lamiales, Lamiaceae.